UGGCCAGGGGACCGGGAUGCGCUGGGUGAGGUCGAUCCGGCGGGUUCCAGGGGUACAGGGAGUACCUCCUUCGGGGUCGGGCCAGGCGAAAA
Molecule: regulatory RNA element, 92 nt
Organism: Pseudomonas aeruginosa PAO1
Lineage: Bacteria; Pseudomonadati; Pseudomonadota; Gammaproteobacteria; Pseudomonadales; Pseudomonadaceae
Rfam family: ivy-DE RNA
Source: Rfam